This 614-nucleotide transfer RNA is filed under the name uncultured Prochlorococcus sp. Its description in RNAcentral is "partial contains 16S ribosomal RNA, 16S-23S ribosomal RNA intergenic spacer, and 23S ribosomal RNA". The stretch from base 228 to 300 matches the Rfam family "tRNA". The record is from RNAcentral. Lineage: Bacteria; Bacillati; Cyanobacteriota; Cyanophyceae; Synechococcales; Prochlorococcaceae.
UGGAUCACCUCCUAACAGGGAGACAACAAAAUGUUUAAUAUUAUUAUUUUGUCACCUUAGGUCGAUCGGUAUCUCACAUUCUUAAUUUAUUAAGGAUUUCUUUUCCUAAGUUUUUUCUAGGUCACACCCAUUAUUUUUCCUGGGCCAUUAGCUCAGGUGGUUAGAGCGCACCCCUGAUAAGGGUGAGGUCCCUGGUUCAAGUCCAGGAUGGCCCAUAUCUCUAUGUUGGGGGUAUAGCUCAGUUGGUAGAGCGCCUGCUUUGCAAGCAGGAUGUCAGCGGUUCGAGUCCGCUUACCUCCACUGAUUACCACCUCUUUCAUAAUCUCGUUGAGAAGGAAAUGUUUUGAGUAGUGAUCAAUUUCUGAACGAAGCUAGCUUCCUAAUGAAAUCAUUAAGAAGCUGGACUCAUUGAAUUAAUUUCAUUGUUUUCAGAGAACCUUGACAACUGCAUAGAUUAUUUUUAAAGACAAUAAGCAUCUUUAAUGAUGCAGAUUUAUUAUUUGUGCGAAUGCAUUAAUAACAAUUCUAUUAAGCUGAUGCUUCAAUUUUUGAAGUUAUUGGUCAAGCUACAAAGGGCUCACGGAGGAUACCUAGGCACACAGAGGCGAUGAAGG